Molecule: ribosomal RNA, 250 nt
Filed under: uncultured prokaryote
Description: partial 16S ribosomal RNA
Rfam family: Bacterial small subunit ribosomal RNA
Source: RNAcentral
UACGGAGGAUGCAAGCGUUAUCCGGAUUUAUUGGGUUUAAAGGGUGCGUAGGCUGUUCGUCAAGUCAGAGGUGAAAUACCUGAGCCUAACUCAGGAACUGCCUUUGAUACUGGCGAGCUGGAAUACGGAUGCCGUGGGAGGAAUGAGUAGUGUAGCGGUGAAAUGCAUAGAUAUUACUCAGAACACCGAUUGCGGAGGCAUCUCACGAAACAGGCAUUGACGCUGAGGCACGAAGGCGUGGGGAUCAAAC